CCUACGGGGUGCAGCAGUAGGGAAUCUUCCACAAUGGGCGAAAGCCUGAUGGAGCAACGCCGCGUGGGUGAAGAAGGUCUUCGGAUCGUAAAACCCUGUUGUUAGAGAAGAAAGUGCGUGAGAGUAACUGUUCACGUUUCGACGGUAUCUAACCAGAAAGCAACGGCUAACUACGUGCCAGCAGCCGCGGGAAUACGUAGGUGGCAAGCGUUAUCCGGAUUUAUUGGGCGUAAAGGGAACGCAGGCGGUCUUUUAAGUCUGAUGUGAAAGCCUUCGGCUUAACCGGAGUAGUGCAUUGGAAACUGGGAGACGUGAGUGCAGAAGAGGAGAGUGGAACUCCAUGUGUAGCGGUGAAAUGCGUAGAUAUAUGGAAGAACACCAGUGGCGAAAGCGGCUCUCUGGUCUGUAACUGACGCUGAGGUUCGAAAGCGUGGGUAGCAAACAGGAUUAGAUACCCUAGUAGUC
Molecule: ribosomal RNA, 465 nt
Filed under: uncultured bacterium
Lineage: Bacteria
Description: partial 16S ribosomal RNA
Rfam family: Bacterial small subunit ribosomal RNA
Source: RNAcentral